CAGUCGCCGCGGUAAUACGAAGGGGGCUAGCGUUGCUCGGAAUUACUGGGCGUAAAGGGAGCGUAGGCGGAUCGUUAAGUUGGGGGUGAAAGCCCGGGGCUCAACCUCGGAAUUGCCUUCAAUACUGGCGAUCUUGAGUAUGGAAGAGGUAUGUGGAACUCCGAGUGUAGAGGUGAAAUUCGUAGAUAUUCGGAAGAACACCAGUGGCGAAGGCGACAUACUGGUCCAUUACUGACGCUGAGGCUCGAAAGCGUGGGGAGCAAACAGGAUUAGAUACCCCAGUAGUCCAUGUCUCUUAUAC
This 301-nucleotide ribosomal RNA is filed under the name uncultured bacterium. RNAcentral describes it as "partial 16S ribosomal RNA". It matches the Rfam family "Bacterial small subunit ribosomal RNA", at positions 509 to 807 of the family's 1533-position model. The record is from RNAcentral.